CACGUCUUAGUGCACACAUCAAGCAGAUUUGUAGGAGCUAAUCGUCUCCUUCCUUUGCCCCCUUACCUCCGCUCAUCUGUCGCCAACGCCGUCCCUCCUCCCUCGUCUUGCACGCCCACGUCUGCAAUGAAAAGCAGCGCCUCAACGAAGCCGGGCGGCACGCCUUCGACGUCUCGCACCGCACAUCCUCCAAGGGCCAACACCAGCGGCAACGCGGGCACUAGCGGGAAGCGGCCCCAGGGGCCCCGCACACCCGUGCACGCGAAGGGCAAGACCGAAAGAAGAGGCGCGGCGGCCCAGGCCAAGGAGUCCGAAAAGGUCACGCACACGGUCAUUAUCACAAACGUUGAGAACGAUUUUGGCAAGUUGCACAGAGCCUGCCUGCCCUACUAUUGCAGCCUGCGCAGCGACUACGAGGAAACGCUGGAUGUGGAGCGGCUUGUUCACGAGGGCGGGCCGCAGUCGCGGCGCCUGAUCGGCGCGGUGCGUGGCUGCAGCUACGCUGUCCGCUGCCGCACCGAGACCCGCUCCGCGGAGAUCAGCCUCUACGGGCCGGCCAACGCCGACUUCGCACCCAUGAAGCUAACCAAAACCUCUCGGCGGCCGUCAACGCCGGCGGCAGACUCCAAGUCAACGGCGGCGCCGACGGCCUCCUCGUCAGCGAAGCUGGCAGAAAAAGACACGACUGCGCCAGCCGAGGACGUCUCGGAGGCGACGGCGUUGGCCAACGUUGGCGCAGUCGAGCAGCUGGCCCUGCGGCUGCGCCGGCAGCACUACUUCGAGGAGCACCUGCCCGUGAGCGUGCACUUGCCUGGGCGACAAGCAGACGAAGUGCUGCUGCGCAUCGAUAAAGGUUCUGCGCCUGGCGGCGCGGGCGGCACCGAUGUCACUGGUGUUAAGAGCGAGGAGGCUAAUGGGGUCGCAGAAGACGCCGACGCGGACAGGCGAGGCAGCGCCGCCACUCUAGCGACGGCGCCUGCUUCCCGUAAGAAGCGGCAGCGCGUCGACGAAGAGGACCGCAACGCCGGCGCCCCGUCUCUGCAGCGAGUCAAGACGGAGGCGCCAGAUGGCGACGAGGAGGGCAUGGAAGAGGAUGGCGCCACGGCACACGAGCGUGGUAAGACGACGGAGGACGGCGUUGAUCAAGAAGCCGACAACGGUGGCAGGCGUUCCAGGCGGCUGACAAAGUCGAAGUCGGCCACGAUCAUCAAGCAGUUCCCGCGCCGCCAGAAGGACUUUGUGACGGCGGUGGCGGCGCUCUCGUCCCGGGUACCGCUGCAGCGCGUGCGCGGUCGUCUGCGCGACCUUCCCGGCUUCCUGUCCUGCUGGUCUCUCUAUGAGCGGCACCUCCGCGUUGUUUUCCUCGACGCCGAGUCGCUCUUCAAGGCGAAGCAACUGCUGGACCAGUUCGAGUUGGAGCCUGGUCUGCGUGUGUCGCUCAUCUUCUCCGACCCGCUCUCCCGCACUAACGCCGAGUAUGUGCGCACGCAGGAGAACGAGAGCGUGAACGAGUAACAUACGAGUCAGCAGCGUUGCCUCCUCAUCGACUCGCAUGUGGUUUGGUGCACCCUGAGCGUGCGUACGUGUGAGGGUGGGAAGGUCUGCCUUCUGGUAUGUUGAUGUGUGUACGGCAUGGAUGAUUCGACCCGGUUAACUCAAUAACGGCGUAUGGGUCGAGUGUGCGUGCGUGCGUGUGCUGCAUUCUCGCAUCCUCUUUCUGUUCAUGGCACGUUGCGUGCCGGAGUGGUGUCGACCACUGUGUACUUCGCAGUAGUAGCAGCCGUUGCGCGCUGCGGAAGACGUGCGCACAUCCUCGAUCGGUACCCACAUAAGACCCAACGCUGCAGCGAAAACGAAACGAAAA
RNAcentral lists this unclassified non-coding RNA (1864 nucleotides) under Leishmania donovani. RNAcentral's name for it is "gene:LdHU3.13.1110(CDS-product:hypothetical_prote in_conserved)". Lineage: Eukaryota; Euglenozoa; Kinetoplastea; Trypanosomatida; Trypanosomatidae. The record is from RNAcentral.